UCGCUGUAGGAGAACUGCAGCGRGGAUCAUU
This 31-nucleotide ribosomal RNA is filed under the name Scytinium subtile. Its description in RNAcentral is "partial 18S ribosomal RNA". The record is from RNAcentral. Lineage: Eukaryota; Fungi; Ascomycota; Lecanoromycetes; Peltigerales; Collemataceae.